Molecule: ribosomal RNA, 420 nt
Filed under: uncultured bacterium
Lineage: Bacteria
Description: bacterial SSU rRNA
Rfam family: Bacterial small subunit ribosomal RNA
Source: RNAcentral
UAAGGAAUAUUGCUCAAUGGGAGAAAUCCUGAAGCAGCAACGCCGCGUGGAGGAUGAAGGGUCUAUGACUUGUAAACUCCUGUAAAGAAGGAAAAAAUUCCCAUUAGAUGGGAGAUGAUGGUACUUCUGGAGUAAGCCCCGGCUAACUACGUGCCAGCAGCCGCGGUAAUACGUAGGGGGCAAGCGUUGUCCGGAUUUACUGGGUGUAAAGGGUGCUCAGGCGGAUUUGUAAGUCAGAGGUGAAAUCUUACAGCUUAACUGUGAAACUGCCUUUGAUACUGCAAGCCUAGAGUAUGGAAGAGAGUGAUGGAAUAUCUGGUGUGGCAGUGAAAGGCGUAGAUAUCAGAUAGAACACCAAUGGCGAAGGCAGUCACUUGGUCCAUUACUGACGCUAAAGCACGAAAGCGUGGGUAGCAAACA